This 522-nucleotide long non-coding RNA is filed under the name Trifolium pratense (red clover). RNAcentral describes it as "long non-coding RNA (TPRA_LNC010467)". Lineage: Eukaryota; Viridiplantae; Streptophyta; Magnoliopsida; Fabales; Fabaceae. The record is from RNAcentral.
AGACAAGGGUAGAGUAGUUGUUUUUCCAUUCUUUUGGUUUCAGGGUUUAUAAAACAAACAAUUUUUCAAAAUUUAAGGCUCAAAUGGGGACACAAAAGAUCACUAUCUCACAAGGUAGGUUAAGUUUGGCCAAGUAGUUAUCACUCAAAAAGAAACAGGGCCUUGAUCAUAUCCACAAUAUCAAACACNNNNNNNNNNNAGCACACAACAUUGCUGGCUCUCAAAAAUUUAUGUAAACAAUGGAAAGUUCACACAUUCUCACCCGGCUAGGUUGAUAACACAAGCUUCAAUCAUGUUCAACAAAAAUAUUGAAAAUCAUCUUAGAGCAAUCAACACAAUUCAAAACCAUGCUAGGUUCCUAAGCUUAUUUCAAGGACUAAUCAAGAAGUUUUGACAUGAAGUUUCACAAAACAUUUUCAACAUGCUUGAUCAUUGAUUUACCACAAACCUAACUUCAGAUUUUUCCUAAUCAUGUGAGCUUGUUUGCAAAAAGCUAUUUACAAUAUUCACACUACUUAAAAA